GACGAACGCGGCGGCGUGCCUAAUACAUGCAAGUCGAACCGCACGAAGUGAAGAGCUUGCUCUUUAACCAAGUGAGUGGCGGACGGGUGAGUAACACGUGGGUAACCUGCCCAUUAGAGGGGGAUAACAUUCGGAAACGGAUGCUAAUACCGCAUAGUUUCAGGGAUCGCAUGAUUCUUGAAGGAAAGGUGGCUUCGGCUACCACUAAUGGAUGGACCCGCGGCGUAUUAGCUAGUUGGUGAGGUAAUGGCUCACCAAGGCAAUGAUACGUAGCCGACCUGAGAGGGUGAUCGGCCACACUGGGACUGAGACACGGCCCAGACUCCUACGGGAGGCAGCAGUAGGGAAUCUUCCGCAAUGGACGAAAGUCUGACGGAGCAACGCCGCGUGAGUGAAGAAGGUUUUCGGAUCGUAAAACUCUGUUGUUAAAGAAGAACAAGGAUGAGAGUAACUGCUCAUCCCCUGACGGUAUUUAACCAGAAAGCCACGGCUAACUACGUGCCAGCAGCCGCGGUAAUACGUAGGUGGCAAGCGUUGUCCGGAUUUAUUGGGCGUAAAGCGAGCGCAGGCGGUUCUUUAAGUCUGAUGUGAAAGCCCCCGGCUCAACCGGGGAGGGUCAUUGGAAACUGGAGAACUUGAGUGCAGAAGAGGAGAGUGGAAUUCCACGUGUAGCGGUGAAAUGCGUAGAUAUGUGGAGGAACACCAGUGGCGAAGGCGACUCUCUGGUCUGUAACUGACGCUGAGGCUCGAAAGCGUGGGGAGCAAACAGG
RNAcentral lists this ribosomal RNA (770 nucleotides) under uncultured Vagococcus sp. Its description in RNAcentral is "bacterial SSU rRNA". It matches the Rfam family "Bacterial small subunit ribosomal RNA", at positions 28 to 776 of the family's 1533-position model. The record is from RNAcentral. Lineage: Bacteria; Bacillati; Bacillota; Bacilli; Lactobacillales; Enterococcaceae.